Long non-coding RNA from Platichthys flesus (European flounder), 558 nucleotides. RefSeq lists it as uncharacterized. The record is from RefSeq and is a predicted model, not a curated record. Lineage: Eukaryota; Metazoa; Chordata; Actinopteri; Pleuronectiformes; Pleuronectidae. The transcript is spliced from 4 exons.
GGUUGCCCCCACAACAGCAUUUUGUAAAGAGUGACAGACUGAGAUCUAUCCCAUUUGCAGCUCUAAAAAAUUCAUCAUGAAUUUAAAAGUUUGUUUUUCUUGCAGCCUAAUUGCAAAGUGGGGAGAGGAGGAAGAGCAGAGCAGAGGUCAGCAUUCCUGCUGGUCCUCGGAGACUCGGAAAAGCAGAGGAACAGAACGCAGGCAACGUGAAGCUGCAGAGGGCAGAGGCAGCCAGAGACCAAGCUGUGUUCAGACAUGACCUCCAGAGGAUGUCCGCAGCAUCGGGUCUGGACUUUCUGCGAAAGUUCCCUUUCUCACAUGGACACUGCAGCAGGAGAUUCACAGAAAAGACGCGUUCACAACACAGAGAUCUCCGGAAUGUUCAGACUGUCGCUGUGACCGUCCUCCUCCCUCUGUCCCCUCCAGUCUCUCAAGCCAAGUCACCUGCUCUGUCUAUUAAGAUAACGAGGCCACGAUGUCACUUCCUGUUGUCUCCCAGGCCGAUGUCUUGUUCAUCCUUCACUUGUGGUCCGUCGCCCUGAUGAAGGACAGGAAGAC